This 71-nucleotide transfer RNA is filed under the name Stegodyphus mimosarum. It matches the Rfam family "tRNA". From Rfam's summary of the family: Transfer RNA (tRNA) molecules are approximately 80 nucleotides in length. Their secondary structure includes four short double-helical elements and three loops (D, anti-codon, and T loops). Further hydrogen bonds mediate the characteristic L-shaped molecular structure. tRNAs have two regions of fundamental functional importance: the anti-codon, which is responsible for specific mRNA codon recognition, and the 3' end, to which the tRNAs corresponding amino acid is attached (by aminoacyl-tRNA synthetases). tRNAs cope with the degeneracy of the genetic code in two manners: having more than one tRNA (with a specific anti-codon) for a particular amino acid; and 'wobble' base-pairing, i.e. permitting non-standard base-pairing at the 3rd anti-codon position. The record is from Rfam by way of RNAcentral. Lineage: Eukaryota; Metazoa; Arthropoda; Arachnida; Araneae; Eresidae.
GCCUUCAUGGUGUGGCGGUAGCACACUCAGUGCACAUUCAGAAGGUCCAGGUUCAAAUCCUGGCGAGGACA